RNAcentral lists this ribosomal RNA (484 nucleotides) under uncultured bacterium. RNAcentral describes it as "partial 16S ribosomal RNA". It matches the Rfam family "Bacterial small subunit ribosomal RNA", at positions 30 to 507 of the family's 1533-position model. The record is from RNAcentral.
AUUGAACGCUGGCGGCGGGCCUAACACAUGCAAGUCGAGCGGAUGAAGGGAGCUUGCUCCUGGAUUCAGCGGCGGACGGGUGAGUAAUGCCUAGGAAUCUGCCUGGCAGUGGGGGAUAAUGUCCGGAAACGGGCGCUAAUACCGCAUACGUCCUGAGGGAGAAAGUGGGGGAUCUUUGGACCUCACGCUAUCAGAUGAGCCUAGGUCGGAUUAGCUAGUUGGUGGGGUAAAGGCCUACCAAGGCGACGAUCCGUAACUGGUCUGAGAGGAUGAUCAGUCACACUGGAACGGAGACACGGUCCAGACGCCUACGGGAGGCAGCAGUGGGGAAUAGUGGGCAAUGGGCGAAAGCCUGAUCCAGCCAUGCCGCGUGUGUGAAGAAGGUCUUCGGAUUGUAAAGCACUUUAAGUUGGGAGGAAGGGCAGUAAGUUAAUACCUUGCUGUUUUGACGUUACCAACAGAAUAAGCACCGGCUAACUACGUG